GGGUUGGAAAGUUUUUCGGUGGGGGAUGGGCUCGCGGCCUAUCAGCUUGUUGGUGGGGUGAUGGCCUACCAAGGCGUCGACGGGUAGCCGGCCUGAGAGGGCGACCGGCCACACUGGGACUGAGACACGGCCCAGACUCCUACGGGAGGCAGCAGUGGGGAAUAUUGCACAAUGGGCGAAAGCCUGAUGCAGCGACGCCGCGUGAGGGAUGACGGCCUUCGGGUUGUAAACCUCUUUCAGCAGGGAAGAAGCGCAAGUGACGGUACCUGCAGAAGAAGCGCCGGCUAACUACGUGCCAGCAGCCGCGGUAAUACGUAGGGCGCAAGCGUUGUCCGGAAUUAUUGGGCGUAAAGAGCUCGUAGGCGGUCUGUCGCGUCUGGUGUGAAAUCCCGAGGCUCAACCUCGGGCUUGCAUCGGGUACGGGCAGACUAGAGUGCGGUAGGGGAGACUGGAAUUCCUGGUGUAGCGGUGGAAUGCGCAGAUAUCAGGAGGAACACCGAUGGCGAAGGCAGGUCUCUGGGCCGCAACUGACGCUGAGGAGCGAAAGCAUGGGGAGCGAACAGGAUUAGAUACCCUGGUAGUCCAUGCCGUAAACGUUGGGCACUAGGUGUGGGGCUCAUUCCACGAGUUCCGUGCCGCAGCUAACGCAUUAAGUGCCCCGCCUGGGGAGUACGGCCGCAAGGCUAAAACUCAAAGGAAUUGACGGGGGCCCGCACAAGCGGCGGAGCAUGCGGAUUAAUUCGAUGCAACGCGAAGAACCUUACCAAGGCUUGACAUGUACGAGAAAGCCCCCGAGAAGGGGUUCUCUUUGGACACUCGUACACAGGUGGUGCAUGGUUGUCGUCAGCUCGUGUCGUGAGAUGUUGGGUUAAGUCCCGCAACGAGCGCAACCCUCGUCCUAUGUUGCCAGCGGGUUAUGCCGGGGACUCAUGGGAGACUGCCGGGGUCAACUCGGAGGAAGGUGGGGAUGACGUCAAAUCAUCAUGCCCCUUAUGUCUUGGGCUUCACGCAUGCU
This 1015-nucleotide ribosomal RNA is filed under the name Promicromonospora sp. RNAcentral's name for it is "bacterial SSU rRNA". It matches the Rfam family "Bacterial small subunit ribosomal RNA", at positions 200 to 1226 of the family's 1533-position model. Lineage: Bacteria; Bacillati; Actinomycetota; Actinomycetes; Micrococcales; Promicromonosporaceae. The record is from RNAcentral.